CCCGCGGCUCGCCCGCCGCUCGGGAGCGCGCCCCGCUCUCCCCGCCCGCGCCCGCCGCAGCGCCGCUCCCUGCAGCCGCCCGGCGGGGUGUGGGGGAGGCGGCCGCUCGCUCCUGCCCGUCCGCCCGCCCGUCCGCCGCCUCGCAGGCCGCACCGAUCCCCUCAGAAAAUGAUGCACCCUGUUGCCAGCAGUAAUGCAGCUUUCUGUGGGACCGGCAAGAGUUCUUGCCUUAAUGAAGACAAUGUGAGAUCUGCUGAUCAGUUUGAUUUGUACGCCACGCAGCAAAGUAAAUACGGCCACGCGGUUGGCCACAAACCAAUUGCAUGCCAGAGACAAGACGCGUUGAACGAAUCGCACUUGCAGACCACAAGUGGCAGGAAUAUAGAGACAAAAGACGAACUAAAGAAAAAGAAAAACCUCAACCGAUCUGGUAAACGUGGAAGGCCAUCAGGGACCACAAAAUCAGCAGGGUACCGAACCAGCACAGGUCGACCCCUGGGGACCACCAAAGCAGCUGGAUUUAAGACAAGUCCAGGCAGACCCUUGGGUACAACUAAAGCAGCAGGAUACAAAGUCAGCCCAGGCAGACCUCCAGGUAGCAUUAAAGCUCUAUCACGGCUUGCAAAUCUAAGUUAUACGUGUGGCAGUGCAGCUUUUCCCUAUCCUAUGGUGCAUAACAGAGGAGUACAUGCUGCUGGUGAAACUAGUAGCAAAAUGAAACAGCCUAAUGAAUGAAAGGAGGGAAUUAGUAACUCCUUACUAAUCCGCUUUACUCUGAAUUUUGGCAUGUUUCUUGCAUUUUGUUGUAGUGUUUGCCUAAGUCUGAGUUUCCUAGAUUUUGUUUUUAUUCAAAUAACGCCACAGCCUAGGAGUGCAAUUCAGUAACUUAAAGCAAUGUGGAGAGGGCACUGGUUUAAAGGGGGUUUUGUUGGUUUUAAAUCAUAAUUUAUAGGCAAGUCUGAAGUGUUGCGUAUGCCUUGGUGUCGAUACUUACGUAAUGUCCAUGUCCCUAUUUUUACAUUCACUUUCUGGUAAAUGUAGUUGUAUAGUUACACAUUAAAUAAUUGAAAUAAGGAGGACAGAAUUAGCUGGCUGUUGGUUCAUGAUGUGGCCUAUCCCGCAAUAAGGAAUUUAACCAGGAAAAAAGCAGCAAGCCUUCAGGUGUUCCAGUGAUGCCUAACACAUAUUGAGCUGGACUUUAUGCUGUACUUUACAAUAGGUGUGUUGAAUUGUUUUGGGGGAACUGUGUAUGCACUGGCAACUAAGACAAUGAACCUCAACUAUACUGGAUGGCUCCUUAAUCAAUAGAUGAACUAAUGGCAGCUAAACUGCUACUAAACAAUAGUUUCUUCACACUGAAGCUAUGAAAUCCAGUUAUACGUUCUGUUCCUCAACAAAGUCGCAAGUCUGAAAUUUAGCAAUCUUUCUCAGAACGAUGUAACUUCUGACACAUGCAAAAUGCGAACGUGAGUUAAUUCACCCUCAGGAUCUGUGUUGUAUUGGCUGUUUUUAAUCAGAUGAUUUUUCAACAAAAGACUGCUUUAAGUUCUUUCUGAACUCAGCUGGGAAAGCAGUCCUCUUCAGCUGAAUGUAGUAACUGCAGGAGCGUCACACCUCGCUGGCAAGGAACGUGUUGCAUGUCACCACUGUACCUUGGAGAAACUCCACUUCUUACCUCCUCCUCUUUCUCCCGUUGGCUCCUGUUCCAUUUCUCACUUGUGCAUCGACUCGAUGGUGCUGUGCUGUGUGUCAGGAGAUAAUGCAGAUGUAUUGCCGUUCUGCUUGUAGAAGGAAUUUUGUAUUCAAGUAUGCUGAUGAAAUAAUGAAAUCAUCUAAGCAAUUUCUGUUCAUUACCAUUUUUAUUAAUUAGAUCAGAUGGAAUAUAAUCCCAGUGAAAAACAAUUAACGUUGUCAAUUGUGAAAUGAUGAGCAGUAGAAAAGUGUUCAGAGAGUCUAAUGGGUUGCUUGGCACUCUGGAUUUAGCAAGGAGACCAGAAUUGCGCUGCUGGGCAUUUCCUGGCGCUGGUUUAUUUUAUAUGUUUUAUUUUACUGGUGCCAUGCAGCGAGGGGAAGAAAAAAGAAGUUAAGAGAUUCAAAGUGAACUAGAAGUGGAAUUUUCAAAUACUUCUGCUUUUCCUAUGUAUAAUCUGCAGAAUACAUUGUGCUUUUUUUUCAACACUUUUCUUUCCAUGACAAACACUGAAACAGCAUGUUAAUGCCUAAACUUUAUUAGUACCAAUGGGAAAACUGGCCUUUUCCCCCCAUAGUAUAAAAACAUUACUUGUAAGGUAAAUUGCUUAUUUUAUAUUAUAUAUCAUAAUUCAGCUAUUCAUAAGCUAGGAUCACUGUUGUGUGUUAACACUGUUCAGAAGAUCUAAAUGUCAAGUUUGUUUUUUAAUAAUUCCUUUUAAUUAUCAAGUUUCUAAUGUCUUAUUUAUACAUAAAUGAAAUGUAUUAGCUUGCUAUUAUUCCUUAAUGAUGCUAUACAAGUUCACUGUUUAAUAUACAUAUAGUAACUACUAUUCAGUUUCUGAUUAAAUUUACUUAAACUUUAAAACCAAAUAAUUUUGCUACUAUAAAGUCUUGCACUGGACAUAUUCAAGAUGCUAGCACCGUAUUUUGGCAGAAGAAAAUCAGAUACUAUCAGAAGUGGCUGACUUUGAUAUCAAAGAUAGUAUUUUUAAAAUCAGCGGUUAGCUUUGUCAUUAAAGCAAUGUUCUUUAUAGCUUGGAUUUAGUUUGAACUACUCAAAAUAACUAUGUAUCAAGAGCCAUUAAAGAUCUCUGUUCCGAAUGAAUAUAUUUUCAUUUUGUCUGAAAGAUCUUAAGAGUUCAGUCAGGACAAAACCAAGCCUUGUCAGUGAAAAGUGAUGUGUCUGUGAAAAGAAUUACUUGGAACUACAACAUACAGAGUAAUUCAGAUGAGAAUUUAACUCCCUCCCCCAUUUUUGAAGAGCUUUAAAAGGCAGAGCAAUGUGAAGUCAUUUGUCCGAUGGUUUCAUUAGCUGUGACUCUGCUGUUCUUUGUUGUAUGUAUAAUAAUGUUUCACGCUAUCCUUAGAGUUGACAGUUAAAACAGUUGAUAACAAUCAUAAAUACUUUGAACCACAGACUUCAUUUCUGACCACAAAAGAAGUUUAUUCUUCUCUAUUUUAAUGCAUAUAUUUUAACACUGCUUAAAUAUAUUUAUGACUUUAGUAGAGACUAGACCUUUCUCCUUGUGAUUUUUUUUUUCCCAAAUAGAUAAAUCUGUAAUCUGAAAUUUGAACCACUUUCUGAUACUUUAAUCUUUCAUCAUUUACUUUUCCACAGGUUUACUUUGGGGAAGACAGUAAUCUGUUAAAUAACUAGUAUCAGCACCCCAUCCUCUGCUGUAAAAAGCCUGACUAGAUACUGUGUAUGUUUUUAUGUCCAUGAACUUGAGCUACUCGUGUGCAAUUAUGUGUAUGGGAAUGGAGUAGUGUUCAUGAUCUGUAUUUACAUCAUCAUAUGGAUGUAUAUUUAUUAAUAAAGUUAAUACUUUAAAACCUAA
Molecule: RNA transcript, 3530 nt
Organism: Chroicocephalus ridibundus (black-headed gull)
Lineage: Eukaryota; Metazoa; Chordata; Aves; Charadriiformes; Laridae
Gene: C11H5orf24
Gene name: chromosome 11 C5orf24 homolog
Exons: 3
Source: RefSeq, a predicted model, not a curated record